AUUUCUUUAUUAAAAGUUUAUUAUAUUAUCUUGAUGGGAUAAAGUUUUUAGAAAUA
RNAcentral lists this transfer RNA (56 nucleotides) under Diploscapter coronatus. RNAcentral's name for it is "tRNA-Ile". Lineage: Eukaryota; Metazoa; Nematoda; Chromadorea; Rhabditida; Rhabditidae. The record is from RNAcentral.